AACGCACAUUGCGCCCCUUGGUAUUCCAUGGGGCAUGCCUGUUCGAGCGUCAUUUGUACCCUCCAGCCCUGCUGGAUGUUGGGCGUUUUGUUCCGCUGCACGCGUGAACUCGCCUCAAAUGCAUUGGCAGCCCGCCGUCCCGUGUGGGAGCGCAGCACAUUUUGCGCUCUCCGCUGCUGACGGUGGCAUCCACAAGUCUACCAUUUUACGCUUGACCUCGGAUCAGGUAGGGAUACCCGCUGAACUUAA
Molecule: unclassified non-coding RNA, 249 nt
Filed under: uncultured Plenodomus
Lineage: Eukaryota; Fungi; Ascomycota; Dothideomycetes; Pleosporales; Leptosphaeriaceae
Description: sequence contains ITS2
Source: RNAcentral